GUAUGGGAGAUGCUGCAUUUUCCCUUCUUUAAUGCUUGUUUGCAUGAAUGUGUGUUUUUGUGAGAGAAGCAGAUUUGCUUGCAAUAAAAAGCAUAUGCGUGUUCACUUUGGUGGUUAUGAGGGUGUGUAUAAUGCACUCACAGUCUGAAGUUGCACAGAGGGAAAAGUUUAAUUUUUCUGUCACUUCUAGUAAGGAGUAAGUUUUCAAGUUAUACAAGUAAGCUUAUGCUUAAACAUUUUAUUACUUACUAAUGUGCUGGUUGAGGGUUUAGAUAGGGUUUCUAUUGUCUUCCCUAGCUGAUUAAUAUUCAGAGUAUUCAGAACAGCUAUAACUUCUAUCUUUGGUUUUCCACAGAUAUUGGUAUUAACCUGACAGAUCCUAUGUUCAGAGGAAUCUACAGGGGAACACAGAAACAUCAAGAUGACUUUCUGGAUGUAAUAGAGAGAGCAGUCAAAGUUGGCAUUAAAAAGUUUUUGAUUACAGGUGGAAGUCUAGAAGAUAGUAAAGAUGCAUUGCAGCUGGCACAGACAAAUGAUAUGUUUUUCAGUACAGUUGGCUGUCAUCCUACUCGCUGUGGAGAAUUUGAGCAGGGUAGCCCUGAACAGUAUUUAUCUGAAUUAAAAAAUCUGAUUGAAAAAAACAGGACAAAGGUAAUAGCAGUUGGAGAAUGUGGCUUAGAUUUCGAUAGAUUAGAAUUUUGCCCAAAGGACAUCCAACUCAAGUAUUUUGAAAAACAAUUUGACUUAUCAGAACAGAUGCAGCUGCCCAUGUUUCUGCACUGUAGAAACUCACAUGCUGAAUUUUUAGACAUAAUGAGAAGAAACAGAGAUAGAGUUGUAGGAGGGGUGGUACAUUCUUUUGAUGGCACAAAGGAACAAGCAGCAGCUCUAAUAGAUUUGGAUCUUUAUAUCGGAAUAAAUGGCUGUUCACUGAAAACAGAAGCCAACUUGGAAACACUGAAAUCAAUUCCUAGUGAACGAUUAAUGAUAGAGACUGAUGCACCUUGGUGUGGAGUGAAAAAUACUCAUGCUGGAUCAAAAUACAUUAAAACUACAUUUCCUACAAAAAAGAAAUGGGAAAAAGGGCACUGCUUGAAGGACAGAAAUGAACCCUGCCAUAUAAUGUAAUAUUUAAAACUGAUCCAGCCUUGGGGAUCAGGGGACAGUCCCCCAGGUGGGACAGUGCUGAGGCACCAGCAGUGCCUGUGACAUCAACGGCCACAACAUGCAUUUUGUCAGGGAUGUUUUUUCCUUCUGCUGUUAUACUUCAAACAAUCUGAUCCUGUGAAAUUCAGAUAUGAAUGACAGCAGCCAAGAUACAGAGUAGUGAAAGAAACUCCAGGGGCUUAUGAACAGAAUUGUCAAAUACUGGAAAUAAUGGCGGCAGUAAGAGAAGAUGACCCACUUGAGUUGGCCAAUACUCUAUAUAACAACACCAUUAAAGUCUUCUUUCCAAAUA
Molecule: RNA transcript, 1459 nt
Organism: Passer montanus (Eurasian tree sparrow)
Lineage: Eukaryota; Metazoa; Chordata; Aves; Passeriformes; Passeridae
Gene: TATDN1
Gene name: TatD DNase domain containing 1
Exons: 12
Source: RefSeq, a predicted model, not a curated record